UACGUAGGGUGCAAGCGUUAAUCGGAAUUACUGGGCGUAAAGCGUGCGCAGGCGGUUUUGUAAGACCGAUGUGAAAUCCCCGGGCUUAACCUGGGAACUGCAUUGGUGACUGCAAGGCUUGAGUGUGUCAGAGGGAGGUGGAAUUCCGCGUGUAGCAGUGAAAUGCGUAGAUAUGCGGAGGAACACCGAUGGCGAAGGCGGAUCUCUGGGCCUGUCCUGACGCUCAGGCGCGAAAGCUAGGGGAGCAAACAGG
This 253-nucleotide ribosomal RNA is filed under the name uncultured bacterium. RNAcentral's name for it is "partial 16S ribosomal RNA". It matches the Rfam family "Bacterial small subunit ribosomal RNA", at positions 524 to 776 of the family's 1533-position model. The record is from RNAcentral.